GACGAACGCUGGCGGCGUGCUUAACACAUGCAAGUCGAACGGAAAGGCCCUGCUUUUGUGGGGUGCUCGAGUGGCGAACGGGUGAGUAACACGUGAGUAACCUGCCCUUGACUUUGGGAUAACUUCAGGAAACUGGGGCUAAUACCGGAUAGGAGCUCCUGCUGCAUGGUGGGGGUUGGAAAGUUUCGGCGGUUGGGGAUGGACUCGCGGCUUAUCAGCUUGUUGGUGGGGUAGUGGCUUACCAAGGCUUUGACGGGUAGCCGGCCUGAGAGGGUGACCGGCCACAUUGGGACUGAGAUACGGCCCAGACUCCUACGGGAGGCAGCAGUGGGGAAUAUUGCACAAUGGGCGGAAGCCUGAUGCAGCAACGCCGCGUGCGGGAUGACGGCCUUCGGGUUGUAAACCGCUUUCGCCUGUGACGAAGCGUGAGUGACGGUAAUGGGUAAAGAAGCACCGGCUAACUACGUGCCAGCAGCCGCGGUGAUACGUAGGGUGCGAGCGUUGUCCGGAUUUAUUGGGCGUAAAGGGCUCGUAGGUGGUUGAUCGCGUCGGAAGUGUAAUCUUGGGGCUUAACCCUGAGCGUGCUUUCGAUACGGGUUGACUUGAGGAAGGUAGGGGAGAAUGGAAUUCCUGGUGGAGCGGUGGAAUGCGCAGAUAUCAGGAGGAACACCAGUGGCGAAGGCGGUUCUCUGGGCCUUUCCUGACGCUGAGGAGCGAAAGCGUGGGGAGCGAACAGGCUUAGAUACCCUGGUAGUCCACGCUGUAAACGGUGGGUACUAGGUGUGGGGUCCAUUCCACGGGUUCCGUGCCGUAGCUAACGCUUUAAGUACCCCGCCUGGGGAGUACGGCCGCAAGGCUAAAACUCAAAGGAAUUGACGGGGCCCCGCACAAGCGGCGGAGCAUGCGGAUUAAUUCGAUGCAACGCGUAGAACCUUACCUGGGUUUGACAUGGAUCGGGAGUGCUCAGAGAUGGGUGUGCCUCUUUUGGGGUCGGUUCACAGGUGGUGCAUGGCUGUCGUCAGCUCGUGUCGUGAGAUGUUGGGUUAAGUCCCGCAACGAGCGCAACCCUUGUUCACUGUUGCCAGCACGUUAUGGUGGGGACUCAGUGGAGACCGCCGGGGUCAACUCGGAGGAAGGUGGGGAUGACGUCAAGUCAUCAUGCCCCUUAUGUCCAGGGCUUCACGCAUGCUGCAAUGGCUGGUACAGAGGGUGGCGAGCCUGUGAGGGUGAGCGAAUCUCGGAAAGCCGGUCUCAGUUCGGAUUGGGGUCUGCAACUCGACCUCAUGAAGUCGGAGUCGCUAGUAAUCGCAGAUCAGCAACGCUGCGGUGAAUACGUUCCCGGG
This 1343-nucleotide ribosomal RNA is filed under the name uncultured bacterium. RNAcentral's name for it is "16S ribosomal RNA". It matches the Rfam family "Bacterial small subunit ribosomal RNA", at positions 28 to 1378 of the family's 1533-position model. The record is from RNAcentral.